Molecule: long non-coding RNA, 877 nt
Organism: Phacochoerus africanus (Common warthog)
Lineage: Eukaryota; Metazoa; Chordata; Mammalia; Artiodactyla; Suidae
Exons: 3
Source: RefSeq, a predicted model, not a curated record
GUAAGUGAAAAGGUGCCUGCCUGCCAGCCAGGAAGAGGGCCCUCAUCUGGAACAUAACUGGCCAGCACCAUGACCUUGGGCUUCCCUGCUUCCAGAACUGUGAGACAUAAGUUCCUGUACAUGGUAUUUGUUAUGACAGUCCGAGUGGAUUAAGAAAAGCAUGGAGUUUACCAAGAAGCUUAACCCUGGAUUUUGUCCUGCAUGUUCAUCUGGGUCACUGUCUGCCCUGUAUGGCAUAUCUGUUGUUGACACAUGGUCUCCACAGGACAAAUCCUCACACUAGCAGUAGGCCUUUCCCCAGUGGGGCCUGCCAUUAUUUACAACUUCCAACAGGGAUACCCAGGGUUAUCAUUUUAGAAUAAAUGUCAGUCACCCAGAUAAUACUGACUUUAAUGCCUCUGAAUGUGUAAAAUGGUAUUUCCUACUAUGCCGUCUUACAUUUAAAGCCUGGAAUGAUGAGAUGAAGAAGAGAUGGAGAAGGAGAAUAAGAAGGAGGAAGGAUUUCAAUGAUGUCAUAAUUGGAUUUGUAUUCUUCACUUCAUUAUAAGGGCCAUAUGAAACCUAGAGCCACACGGUGGUUUGGAUCAUUGUCCAGGAGACCACUGACUCAAACUCUCUUCUCACACUGAGCAGGACUGCCAGGAGGAGAGUCCUUCCUUGGCCCAUCAUCAUAUGUAAGCAGAAUAAAUCUUUGAUUGCAAUAAUUUACAAAUGAACUAAAAUCUAAAAUUUUUGACUUUAAAAGAAGAGAAAAUUUGCUCCUCUUUUUGCUAUUGAAAUGUGCUCCACUCUAAAUAAUUUCUUGUCCUAAAUUCUAUCAUAAGACACUUGACACCAUUCACCUGAAAAAUGCAAAGGACCAUAUACCUAAGGGACA